AUCUAGGCUCUUGCAUCGAUGAAGAACGUAGCGAAAUGCGAUACUUGGUGUGAAUUGCAGAAUCCCGUGAACCAUCGAGUCUUUGAACGCAAGUUGCGCCCGAUGCCAUUAGGUUGAGGGCACGUCUGCCUGGGUGUCACAUAUAGAAGCCAAUU
RNAcentral lists this ribosomal RNA (155 nucleotides) under Lathyrus sphaericus (spring vetchling). Its description in RNAcentral is "5.8S ribosomal RNA". The stretch from base 1 to 139 matches the Rfam family "5.8S ribosomal RNA", at positions 18 to 154 of the family's 154-position model. From Rfam's summary of the family: 5.8S ribosomal RNA (5.8S rRNA) is a component of the large subunit of the eukaryotic ribosome. It is transcribed by RNA polymerase I as part of the 45S precursor that also contains 18S and 28S rRNA. Lineage: Eukaryota; Viridiplantae; Streptophyta; Magnoliopsida; Fabales; Fabaceae. The record is from RNAcentral.